Molecule: long non-coding RNA, 571 nt
Organism: Papaver somniferum (opium poppy)
Lineage: Eukaryota; Viridiplantae; Streptophyta; Magnoliopsida; Ranunculales; Papaveraceae
Exons: 3
Source: RefSeq, a predicted model, not a curated record
UUUGUUAUGACUUUUGUGGUAAUAUACAGGCACAAAAGAAAAAUGAGAAGAAAAAUGUUAAGAAAGAUGUUGUGGAAGAAAAUCUAGCAAGUGAUUUCUUCAAUUGAUUAUGGAGGUGAGAGAUGCGAGCAACUUGAGUUCCAGAAGAAAGUUUCUCAACACUAUGAGAUGCUUCAUCAUGCAUGGAAGCUGAAGAUGCCGAAACACAAGCUCUUUCUGCUUCAUCCAAAACUGCAACCAAAAUGGUUAGCGAUAGGUGAGGAUGCUCAAAAGAAUCUAAACAGGCACUUAAAGAAGAAAUGCUCUUGUCUGGUCUUAAAGAAAGCAGCUGAGGGCGAUCAAAGAUAACCUAUCCACUCUCAUGGUAUGCUUAGUUACAAAACAUGUUCAUGAUAUUUGUGAUACAGAGAAUUUGUAUUCCCUUAGGACAUAGGAAUGAACUUAUAAUGAUUUAAGUGAGAAUGAACUCAACUUGUGAAGUUUUUAUCUUUAUCUAUUCCCUUAGAAUUUUUUUGGUACUUCAAGAAUUUGUAUUGUUUUUUGAUAUGAAUCAAGUGAACAUUUGAUAUAA